This is a long non-coding RNA of Papaver somniferum (opium poppy), 1870 nucleotides long. RefSeq lists it as uncharacterized. The transcript is spliced from 3 exons. The record is from RefSeq and is a predicted model, not a curated record. NCBI's taxonomy places the organism in Eukaryota, Viridiplantae, Streptophyta, Magnoliopsida, Ranunculales, Papaveraceae.
UCAUCUUUAGCUAGCUGUAACAGCAAUUGUCUAUAAAACAAGAGCUACCUGUCUCUCUUUUGUAUCCAAUAUCACAUUACACUAACUCCAUCACCUUCAUCAUCAUCAACCUUUCACCUUGCUUUCUUUUCAAAAUUCCAUCUCGGAGUUUCUUGCAGUAAUUUUGCAUGAUUUCAGUUUAGUUAGUUAGGUUGCUUGAUUUUCUUUCGAAAUCUCAACAAAAAAUCUGAACAUCCACUAGAUCUGGAACUAAGCUUCUCAAACAUCCACUCUACUGGAUGAUCUAUAUUCUGGACUUGGGAUUGCAACAAAACCGAGUUCAGAUGGUAGACUUCACAUAUUUCAGAGACAAGAAGAGAUUGACAUGAUUAUUCUAGACUUGGGUAAUAUGCUGGGAAGUUUAGCACCAAAGCUAGGGACAAGAAUGGAAAAACCAACAGCAAGUUUGGAUGUUUCCCGAUUAAUUAGAGUAAUUUUGUCAAAAAUUCUCUUGAGAAUUGUUAGUAUGAGCGGACUCGGAAAUUGCAAAGCUUCCAAAUUGCGUUGUCGGUGAUGAAGAUCCUUGUGGUAAUAUGGUCCUUAAUUUUCCCCAAGUAAGGGAGAAUGAGAGUUCAUAGUCUUGGUUUGAAAUGGACCUGUUCUGUCAAAUUUUGAAUCAGUUUUUAAUCGCAAGAGAGAGAUUUAUUCAGACAAAAAGACUGUACAAAGAACUACCAGAGGUAGCUUAUAUGAAAAGAAAAAGAAGAAACAGGAAUGAAGCAAAAACAAUACUCCAACUACGAAUUGUAAUAUAUGUGUACGAGCGGACUCGGAAAAUUAAGCUAAUGAAAAGCUUUCUUUCUUCUGCCAUUUGUUUGUUCAAAUGACUUGUACUCAAACUUGUUUCUUCUUUUGGUUUCUGCCAUUGAAUUUGAAUUCCCAAACCUAACACAUGCAUCACCAACUGUGUCAGUCAGUAUUCACUACUCACUGACUCAUCUAUCCCACUACUCCUAAUUAAUAUGCAUUCAACAUCUCACACCAAACCCUCCCCCUGUCUUAACUCUAGCUAGCUACCUUCAUCAUCAUCAUCAUCAUCUAUUCUUCUAUCCGUAACUUGUCUAUAAAACAAGACCACACCACCUUACAAUUAUUACAUCAACUCCAUCACCUUCAUCAUCAUUACAAGACUUUCUUCAUUCAACUCUGAAUCAACCACUAUUUAUCUCUCAAUUUCAAGAUUCCAUCACGCAAUAAUUUCCUUGAAGUAAUUUUGCAUGAUUUUAGUUCGGUCAGUUAGGUUGCUUGAUAAUCAUUCAUAUCUCAGCAACAUAUCCUCUUAAAUUUACCCGGCCAGCUUUCGGUUCCUGCAACAAGAUUUUGUUGCUAAAUUUGGAACUAAACUUUGCAUUGCAACAAAACCGACUCAAGGGAGAAAUGGUGGGUUAUUUAGCACCAGAUCAGCUGGGGACAAGAAGAGGAAAAUUAGGAAGACCAGAUGUCCUUGUAUUUUUGGUAGCAAUUGUCUUGAAUAUAGUUGGUAUGAGUGGCCUCGGAAAACGCAGAACUAUUGCAUCGGCGUAUUUUAGAUGAUGAUCCUUGUGGUGUUGUGGUCCUUACUUUUUGCCAUGGAAGAAGGAUUAAGGUCGUCAAAUCAGAGUAUAGAAUCUCUGGUUUAAAAGGUACCUGUUCCACCAAAGAUGACCCAUCUUUACCGAUGACCAAUUCUAUGGAAGUCAAAGGUACUACAAGCACUGGACAUUAUCUAAUAUAUUCAUCCUCAUGUAAUAUCCGUAUGUGCAGACUCGGAAAAUCAAGCCAAUAAAAAGCUUUUUACAUUUUUAGUGUUCUUGCAUUUUGCGGACACAGUUUUGUAUGUUCUUUGUUUGUU